GACGAACGCUGGCGGCGUGCUUAACACAUGCAAGUCGAACGGUGAAGCGCCUUCCUUUUUGGUGGGUGUGGAUGAGUGGCGAACGGGUGAGUAACACGUGAGUAACCUGCCCCCUUCUUCUGGAUAACCGCAUGAAAGUGUGGCUAAUACGGGAUAUUCUGGGUCUGUCGCAUGAUGGGUCUGGGAAAGAUAUUGUUUCGGUGGGGGAUGGGCUCGCGACCUAUCAGCUUGUUGGUGGGGUGAUGGCCUACCAAGGCGGUGACGGGUAGCCGGCCUGAGAGGGUGGACGGUCACACUGGGACUGAGACACGGCCCAGACUCCUACGGGAGGCAGCAGUGGGGAAUAGUGCACAAUGGGCGCAAGCCUGAUGCAGCGACGCCGCGUGAGGGAUGGAGGCCUUCGGGUUGUGAACCUCUUUCGCCAGUGAAGCAGGCCUGCCUCGUUUGUGGGUGGGUUGACGGUAGCUGGAUAAGAAGCGCCGGCUAACUACGUG
Molecule: ribosomal RNA, 494 nt
Filed under: uncultured bacterium
Lineage: Bacteria
Description: partial 16S ribosomal RNA
Rfam family: Bacterial small subunit ribosomal RNA
Source: RNAcentral